AAGAACGAAAACCCCCUCGCCAUUCGCCAUUUCUCCCUCCCAAAAACCCUUCGCCCCUUCAUUUCCUUGCUUUCUCUGCUGCUGCCUGCUCUACUCUCAAAUUUUCGCGAUCUACGCCGGAUUUUCUGCCGCCGGUCACCUCUCGUUACUCCGGCAGUGUCAAUGGGGAGCUCUAGUAGAUGGCGAAUGGCAGGGAUGGAGGCUCCGUUACGCAAUACUGACUCCAUCGAGUGGCGGCAGGUCUCCGUACCAUCGUCUUCUUCAGGUUCUACACCCAGCACCUUGGAAAAUUCAGUAGCCAAGGAUUUCGCCUCCUGCUGCGCCAUUGGAGAUUCACCUACUUAUGUUAUCUGGAAAACGAGUAAGGCUCAGCCAAAUUUUCUGGAGAUUAUCGAGCUAUCGAGUUCUAAAGAACUGUCGAGGAGUGGGCUGCGGCUCAUCUUUCCUGACUCUAUUUUCCCCUUUGCUUUUAUCUACAGAGAUGAGAGCAACUCUUCUGUUUCGAGAAAUCACUUUGUGCUUUAUACUCUGACAAUCUCGGGGGUAGCAUACUGUAUUACAUUAAAAAAAAUUUUUGAUUAUGGAACUUCUUCACAAGUCUCCGCUGACGACAUUAUUGAGUACAAUACACAAAUUCAACCUGGUUGGGGUACAAUAACAGCAGUUACAGCUGCAGAAGGAUGUAUGUUGAUUGGGAGGAGUGAUGGAUCUAUUGGUUUUUUCCAGCUCGGCACACUUGACCCAAGCAAUUCAGGCUUUGUUUAUGAGUUACGGGAUGAUGCUGGCUUUGGGAGGCUAUGGGGUAUAUUGUCAAGGUCUCCGACGCUAGCUGCUGUACAGGAUUUAGCAUUAUCAGAUGUAUUACAGAGAAAGCUGCUUUUUGUGCUUCAUUCUGAUGGAAGCUUUCGAGUUUGGGACCUCUCAAGCCGUAGUAAAAUUUUCAGUCAUGCAAUGACCAUCCCAACACCAUCAGGUGCAUUCAUAAAUUUGUGGGUGGGUGAGACUGCUAACAAUAUUGACAUAAUUCCGUUUGCAGUGCUACAUAAAGAAAAUCUGGAAGUUAGCACUGCCACACUAUUUCUAUACUGCCUUCGUUGCCAUGUGGGGAAUAGAGUACCAUUGUCACUUGAGACUUCUUCAAGAAAAAUCUCUUUGGGAGAGGGUGAACUUAUUGAUGUCAAAGUUACUUCGGACAAAGUGUGGAUUCUCAAAGAAGAGGGACUCAUAAUGCAGGAUCUCUUUUGUGAUGAUACCACAGAGGGAUUAUCACAUUACUAUGCUUUGCAAGAAAAUUUCAUUGCCGACCUGCUAUUUCAAAGUUCUGAGCAUUCUCCAGAUGAUCUUCUUUGGCUUGCCCAUUCCACAUUUUCAUCUUCAAAGGAGGAAGUCAUCCCAUUUAUAUCUUCAGUUUUUAUGCGCGUCUUGCUUUUUCCUGGGGUAUAUUGUGGAACUGUGCUGAGGCGAACUUUGGAAGAUUAUAACAAAUAUUUCACUGAUUCAGAGUUUGUUUCUUUCACUAUUGGUGGUCUGAAGGCUGAGAUUUUGUCAAUCAUUGAACAUCAGAGUGGAAUUGAAAACCCUGUUGCCAUUCUUCAGUGUUGGAAAAAUAUGUGUUCCCGAUACAUUAAUAAUUGGCUCAAGUACAAUGCAUCAUGCGGUCUUCUGAUGGAUCCAUCUACGGGUGCAGUUGGUGUAGUUCGGAACAACACCAUCUCUCUCUGCCGUGGCUUAGAGGAUGCUGAACAUAUAAUCUACGGUUCUUUUGAAGAGAGAAACAGUUAUUUAAGCCCUGGAUUGGUUUUCUCUGAUGAUAAGUUUAACCAAAAGAUUCUAUUUGAAUUACUACAAUGUGUUAGGAGUGUAAGCCAGCAGCUGGGCAAGGCUUCAUCGGCUGUAUUUUAUGAGUUGCUUGUUAAAACACCUCAAAUGUCACCUGAGGAUGUUGUUGUUCGUGUUCUUAAGGUCCUAGAAACUGGACAUGGGUCUUCAACUUCUGUACGAAUAUCUGAACUUGGUGCUGAUACAGCUUGGGAGAAAGAAUUGUCAAAUCAUAAAAACCUAAGAAAAUUUUCCGCAAAUAUGUUUUUGUCACUUCAUGCACUGUGCCAGAAAGCUAACUCAUGGAGCAAUGUUUUGAAUGUGGUCGAGAGCUACUUAAAUUUUUUAGUGCCUCAAAAAGUUGUACUUAAUGUCGAUGCUGAAACAAUUCUGGGGGUAAAUUAUUCUGCAAUAGUGCAGUCUGUCUCUCAAAUCUCAAAAGUGAUGUUUGAGUCUGUAUUGGACGUUUUAAUGCUGUUAAGCUACAUGACUGGCAUCAGCGGGCAGAUUAACAUGUCACAGGAGGAUGUUUCUAAAGUUAAACUUGAGUUAAUUCCGAUGAUUCAUGAAAUUGUUACAGAAUGGCACAUCAUCCAUUUCUUUGGGACGACUCCUUCAGAAUCACUUGCAAUUGAAGAUUUUAGUUAUCAGCUAUCAUCCUUACAAAUUGACAGCAAUGUGGACAAGCGAUUGUGGAAUGGAAAGCUUGGGAAAUGCGAAUAUCCAUUGGCAUAUGUCCUUUUAUUGAGCAUGCAAAGUUCUUGUGGACAAAUGAGGACCCUUCCCGCCAAUCGAUUUCAACAUCCCAGCACUCUAAUUAGCCUGACUCGAGAGUUUUCCAGCUGGAUAAUUUGGGGAAGCACAGAUGAUUCUUCCGUAUUCUUCAGCAAUGCAAUUGAUCUUGCACUGGUGUUACUUAGACAUGGCCAGUACAAUGCCACAGAGUAUUUGCUUGCUUUGGUGGAUGCAUAUUCGCGCAAGGAGAAAACAUUUGGAAGCCUACAGUCUGUGGAUGACAAAUUGUCUGUACUUCUACAUCUUCUUGGAUGUUGUCUUGUCGCUCAGACACAACAUGGGUUGCACGGUCCAGUUAAGGACAAAAAGGUUGGGGAAGCACUUCGCUGUUUCUUCAGAGCUGCAUCAGUGGAGGGAUCUUCUGAAGUUUUGCGGAGUUUGCCACAUGAAGCAGGAUGGCUGCGAAUUGACUUCAGCACUUCUGCCUCAGUUGCAGAAUGGAAACUCCAAUACUACCAAUGGGUGAUGCAGCUUUUUGAACAAUAUAAUUUGAGUGAUGCUGCUUGCCAAUUUGCUUUAGCUGCGCUUGAGCAAGUAGAUGAAGCUCUUUCCACUAUGAAUAGUAGCUCCAGUGAGGAUUUUCUGGAAACAGUUACUACUGUGAAGGGCCGGCUUUGGGCUAAUGUAUUUAAAUUCACCUUGGAUCUCAAUAAUUACCAUGAUGCAUAUUGUGCAAUCAUUUCAAAUCCAGAUGAGGAAAGCAAGAAUAUAAGCUUGAGGCGUCUUGUCUUUGUGCUCUAUGAACGUGGUGCAGUUAAGAUACUAUGUAAUGGCCAGUUGCCAUUAAUUGGUUUAGCUGACAAGGUAGAGCGAGAGCUUGCCUGGAAGGCAGAGCGGACUGAUAUUUCAACGAAGCCAAACCCUUUCAAGUUGCUUUAUGCAUUUGAGAUGCAUAGACAGAACUGGCGUAAAGCUGCAAGUUACAUAUACUUGUAUUCUCUGAGGUUGAGAGCUGAAUCAACCAUGAAAGACCACCAAACCAGGUCUUCUAUGCUGCAAGAGAGAUUAAAUGGGUUGGCUGCGGCUGUUAAUUCUCUGCAGCUUGUCCAUCCUUCGUACGCUUGGAUUGACUCUCCAGUUGAUGAAACAUUACUUGGCACAGAAAACUAUCCAAAUAAAAGGGCUAGGAUUACAGAGCAAGGACAAUCUACUGAUGAUAUCUCGCCACAAAAGCGACCAUCUUAUUUAGAUGUUGAGAAACUUGAAAAGGAGUUUACUUUAACAUCGGCGGAAUAUGUACUCUCAUUGGCAGGUGUCAAGUGGACUUUUUCUGGAACUGAGAAACCAUCAGCAGAGCUUAUCGAUCAAUUGGUUGAAUCAAAUUCAUAUGAUAUGGCCUUCACGGUGAUACUCAAAUUUUGGAAGGGUUCUGGCCUUAAAAGGGAACUUGAAAGAGUCUUUAUUGCAAUGGCAUUGAAAUGCCGCCCAAGCCGACAAAUCUCAUCAAUGUAUGGGAAAAAUCGUAAAAUGUAUGGGUUAUUGUUGACUUCAUCAGAAGAUGAGGCAGUUCAUGAUUCGCUUGAUGCAGCUACAACUGCGCAACAGUUUGAGGGCAGUGGCCACUGGGAGACACUUGAAUUCUACCUUGAUAAAUACAGGCUAUUUCAUCCCAGGUUGCCUUUAAUAGUUGCUGGAACUCUUCUCUCAGCAGAUUCACAAAUUGAGCUGCCGCUUUGGUUGGUUCGACACUUCAAGGGUGAUCGGAGUGGGAGUGGUUUUGGAAUGAGUGGUGGCGAAUCCGAUCCAGCUUCCCUUUUCCGCCUGUAUGUUGAUUAUGGUCGACAUGCAGAGGCUACUAAUUUGCUGGUUGAGUACAUGGAAAGUUUGGGAGCACUUCGACCGGCUGAUGUUAUAAGACGUAAAAAGACAUUUGCUGUGUGGUUUCCAUACACAUCAAUCGAACGCCUGUGGUGCAUGCUUGAGGAAUCAAUCAAAGUGGGCCACAGGAUUGAUCAGAGUGAAAAGCUGAAAAAGUUAUUGCAUGGGGUUUUGUUAAACCACCUCAAUCUGCUGAAAGUGGACUCUGAUGAUAUUCGAUCCUCAGCAAGUUAGAGCUACAUAUCCGGUGUAAGCUCGUAGACCUAUGAGUGUUUCCAUUCCAGAAAGUAAAAAAUCGAUCCGAAUCCACUUGUCUGCUCGUUUGCCUUAUUUAAAUCUGAUUGAAGGCAAUAUGAAGAUGACCCUGAUGGGCAAGUAAGCAGUAUUCGUAUUUCAUGUUUGUAUUGGUUGCUUUGCUGUGUUACAUUUUUGUUGUGUAUGCAAUGCAAUGCAAUGGUGCAGGCAGAGCUGAGAAAUAGUCUUUUUAUUUUACAAGUGAAGUGAGUGGGGGGGGUGUAAUAUGAUGAUAUGCUAAUUCUAUUGGCUAUGAGCAUGAUAUGACUAAUUACCAACUGGUAUUGGUAAUAAUUGACCUUUGGGGCUGAUACAAUUUACUAUUAUUCAUUCUUAUUAUUAUUGGGCGAUGUGCUUUGUGCUUUUGA
RNA transcript from Andrographis paniculata, 5093 nucleotides. It is a transcript of the gene named nuclear pore complex protein NUP160, with no coding region annotated. The record is from RefSeq and is a predicted model, not a curated record. The transcript has 28 exons. Lineage: Eukaryota; Viridiplantae; Streptophyta; Magnoliopsida; Lamiales; Acanthaceae.